AAAAUUCAUCCUACUAUAUUAUUUGGGAAGUACAUUUUAAAUAUAACCUUAAUUUUUGUAAGUAAUUACAUAUGUAUGCCAUUAAAAAUAAAAUUUUAAAGAGUAAAUUAAUUUAUCUCUUUAAGGAUUAAAAAGUCAAAUACUAAUUUAAUUAAUUAAAUUUAAUUAAAAAACGAAAUACAUUAUUAAUUUUCAAAAAUAAUAACCAAUCAAAAUCAACAUAUAAGAUUUGAUAUCUAAAUUUUAAUUAAUUUAAUUUAAUUAGAAAAACGAAAUACAUUAUUAAUUUCCAAAAAAGUAACCUAUUAAAAUCAACAAAUUAGAUUUGAUAUCUAAAUUAUCAUAUUAAUUUUUUAUUAAUUAUUAUAGUUCACUUCUCAUCUUUAUAUGAUUCUAUUUAUGCGAAAAAUAAUAUCAUCAUUAUAAAAAAAAAUUAGAGUUUUUUCGCAUAUGCAAUAAUUUGAAUUUUUGAAAUCGUAAACUGUUCAAUACAUGAAAAAAUAUUAUAACGGGUGAAAAAUAGAUUUAAGAAAACUUUCUACUGAGUAACGGGUCAUAAUUUGAAAUAUUUAUAUUCAAUUUCAUACAUAUUAUAUUGAAAAUUUAUAAUCUUAUAUACUACAAUAAUUAAUAACAUAUUGGAUUUUUUUAUGUGUAUGAUGUGAUUCAAUUUUUAAUACAAGCUGGAAAAUCCUAGAAUUGACGGGUUUAGAUCGAUAUUAAUACAAGAUGGUAUACUACAGGUGAAACUCUUAAAUUAACAAUCAAACUACAAGUGUAUAAUCUUAAACACCAAACAAUAUAGAUAAUAUCAACAAAACAUAUACAACUCACAGUUUACUUUUAAUAUUUUAUAUACAAAAUCAAUUAAAUCUUAAAUUAAA
RNAcentral lists this small RNA (884 nucleotides) under Arabidopsis thaliana (thale cress). Its description in RNAcentral is "ATSL045110". Lineage: Eukaryota; Viridiplantae; Streptophyta; Magnoliopsida; Brassicales; Brassicaceae. The record is from RNAcentral.